GAUGAACGCUGGCGGCGUACCUAACGCAUGCAAGUCGAACGGACAUUCAGGGAGCAAUCUGCGGAUGUUAGUGGCAAACGGGUGAGUAACACGUAGGCAAUCUACCUUGGAGAGGGGAUAACGAGCCGAAAGGUUCGCUAAUACCGCAUACGGUCGGUCACGAACGCAAGUUCGUGCGACGAAAGGGGCAUCUUCGGAUGCGUCACCCUAAGAGGAGCCUGCGAUCGANCAGGUAGUUGGUGAGGUAACGGCUCACCAAGCCGCUGACCGAUAGCUGUUCUGAGAGGAAGACCAGCCACACUGGGACUGCGACACGGCCCAGACUCCUACGGGAGGCAGCAGUGGGGAAUCUUGCGCAAUGGGCGAAAGCCUGACG
RNAcentral lists this ribosomal RNA (376 nucleotides) under uncultured bacterium. RNAcentral describes it as "bacterial SSU rRNA". It matches the Rfam family "Bacterial small subunit ribosomal RNA", at positions 28 to 388 of the family's 1533-position model. The record is from RNAcentral.